UUUGCAACAGGAAGGGGCAAAUGAACACAUAUUUUUUAUGAACCUUUAGGGAUUACUAUAAUAAAAAGGUAAUCAUCUUUAUUCAGGCAGAUUGACAAAGCAAAACAUACCAGCUGGGAAGGCUGUAGUCUUGUUAAUGGAGACCUGGGCCUCAGAAAUAGCCCUCAUCAUCAGCUUCUUGUUGGCUUGUUUGGCUGGGGGGGGCAAGGAGGGUCUAGAAACAGAGACAUGGCUCAAUACACAGAUAACACACUGGGGACACAAACAAUGGAGUGUACAAUUUAUGUGACAGACAAGGGAUGUUCAAAACAGGAUACAAGACCGUUUUUCUACUGUGGCAAGGCUUCCACUUUAACUAAAUGCCCCAAGGCUUCCACUCUAACUAAAUGUCCCAAGGCUUCCACUUUAACUAAAUGCCCCAAGGCUUCCACUUUAACUAAAUGUCCCAAGGCUUCCACUCGAACUAAAUGUCCCAAGGCUUCCACUCGAACUAAAUGUCCCAAGGCUUCCACUCGAACUAAAUGUCCCAAGGCUUCCACUCGAACUAAAUGUCCCAAGGCUUCCACUCGAACUAAAUGUCCCAAGGGAACUAAAUGUCCCAAGGCUUCCACUCAAACUAAAUGUCCCAAGGCUUCCACUCGAACUAAAUGUCCCAAGGCUUCCACUCGAACUAAAUGUCCCAAGGCUUCCACUCGAACUAAAUGUCCCAAGGCUUCCACUCGAACUAAAUGUCCCAAGGCUUCCACUUUAACUAAAUGUCCCAAGGCUUCCACUCUAACUAAAUGUCCCAAGGCUUCCACUCGAACUAAAUGUCCCAAGGCUUCCACUCGAACUAAAUGUCCCAAGGCUUCCACUCGAACUAAAUGUCCCAAGGCUUCCACUCGAACUAAAUGUCCCAAGGCUUCCACUCGAACUAAAUGUCCCAAGGCUUCCACUCUAACUAAAUGUCCCAAGGCUUCCACUCUAACUAAAUGUCCCAAGGCUUCCACUCUAACUAAAUGCCCCAAGUCUUCCACUCUAACUAAAUGUCCCAAGGCUUCCACUCUAACUAAAUGUCCCAAGGCUUCCACUCUAACUAAAUGUCCCAAGGCUUC
Oncorhynchus tshawytscha (Chinook salmon) is the source of this 1094-nucleotide long non-coding RNA. The record is from Ensembl. NCBI's taxonomy places the organism in Eukaryota, Metazoa, Chordata, Actinopteri, Salmoniformes, Salmonidae.